CAAGGUUCUGGCUGACCCGCUCCCUUGGAGAUGGGGCCAUGGUGGAACUGCUGCGCUGUCAGCCGGUGGCCGAGAUGCCGCACAGUCGCACUAGAAGAUGCGAGCUCGAUACUCAACAGGCAAAGGUGAGUGAUGAUACAUUGUUUCAUCUACCUCUGUACUAGUAUCUACUCCCUCCGUCCGGGUUUAUUAGGCCUAAAGACAACUUCUCUUAGACCAAGACAUAUAGUAAUUUGCUCACAUUAAUUCUUUUAUUCCACUCCCAAUGCACUCUCUCACAUGCAUGCAACCAAUGAAAAAGCACGCAUGAAGUGUAUUAAUUUUCCAGCCAUGGCACCAACAACAAUGGCUUUCAAUGCAACCAAUGAAAUGGUUACAUGCAUGCACCUUUCCAAAGCGGGGCCUUAUAAAAGGGGACAUGCUUGUGAUGCUGAGAGGCCUAAUAAACCCGAACGGAGGGAGUAGCUCUGUAUUACUAGCUAACUAGCUCUCAGCAAUCAGCGUAUUGACAUUUGCACGUACUGAACUUUCAAGUAUGCGAUGUAUCCAUUUUUCUUUGCUUCUCUGGUUUCCAAUUACAAAGUACAGGGGAAGGGGAAAUCACAAAUUGGUGAAAGCGCUUUUUAGUAAAUGUAGUGCCCAAGACCACAUUUAACUGGAAAACUAAAUCUCAGUUACACAUCUAACAUAUGAAAAGGAAUAACCAGCAAUCCAUAUUCAAGUAUAUAUCUUUAUUUGAGCAUAAAACCAUUGUGCAUCUAACAUCAAGAGGAAUGGUAAGAUAAAUUAUUACAUUGCAAGGUAACUGUUUUGCAGAGCAAUCCUGAGAUACAAAUUUUAUAUGGUAAUAUAGAGCUAUUUAAAAGUGUUUAUCUUGUACUCCCUCCAUCCUAAAAUUCUUGUCUUAGAUUUGUCUCUGAUACAUGUGCCACACACAUAGACGAUGUAUUGAGUUAGUAAAAACCUUGUUAAUGGCACUAAUAAUUGCAGCACAGUUUCCGUCGGUGUGCUUGUGCUUGAGAGUUGAGAUGCGUGAGACCAGAUACAUGGACGUCUUGUGUGAGGCAACGUCCUGAGCCUGCUCUCGAUGGGUACCCGGGGCAGCCGGCUGACCCUUGCGCCACCGCCGGCCUCUGCCGGGCCGGCGACGUCGCCGGCGUUGGGAAGCUUGUCUGGCUCGAGAUUCUCAUGCCUGAGAUCGGACGUUGGCUCCUCUGACGAGGAGGAUACGCCGGCUGUUGGCGUGUAGACGGCCCUUGAGGUGCUUGGGGAGGAUGUUGGAGGCGGGGAGUGGAACACGGUGUCUCGCCGGAAGAAGAAAACUGAGGCGGAGCUGGUCCAGGAGUUCUGGGACGAUGCGGGAUUCCCGACGCCGGCAUCUCAUUUCUGGGAACACCGGUCACCGUCGUCGCCAGGGGAUUUUCUAAAUCCCGAUGGGUCGGGUGUGCCAUCUUGCAGGGAGCAGGAGAGGAUCGCCGAUGCGGAGGGCUCGGAGCUGGAUGGUUCGGCGUCGCUGUCGAGAUCGGCGGCCCCGGUGCUCUCCGGCCGGAAACCUGUGUCCCACCGUCCGUGCUGAGAGUCGCCCGGCCGCCACGUUUGGGGGCUUGGCGUGGACCCCUGCCGCCGCGCCGGGUGACGCCCCCGCCGGUGCUGGGACAGUUCAUUGACGCGGUCAGGCAGAACCCCUCCGCGGCAAGCCGGCAAUGCCCGCCGAGAUCUGACGUCGUUCGGGCGCCGGGUCCGGUGGCGAGAUCGCAGUGAAUUCAAACUCAACUGUCCUCGGGCUUUGGGCCCAUGCAUGCACAAAAGGACGCGGGCCAAGAUGUAUUUUCUUGGGCCUUUCUGAGGACGCGCAUGAAGGCAAUCUGGGCAGGUUUUGGUAACCAGCAGGCCGCGAUCGCAGCAGUUCCUUUCACCGCUUCGUCCUCGUCCUCGUAUCCUGACGCAGAUCCUUCGAUCGCCGCCAAGCCUCUGCACACCUCACGGACGCCGUCUCCAGCUCCGGCAUCACCCCUCUGCGCCGGGGUCACGUUUCAGCGCCCCAUGGCGGGCGUUCCUCCGACAGCACCUGGUGCCGCAGCCACGGGAGGGCCAAACCCUCGCCCACCACCAGCCAUGGGGCCGACUCCCGCUCCUUCACGUCCUCCGGCGCAGGCGCCGGGCUACUCCGGUCGACCACAUCAGCAGCAUGGACUGGCGCCGGUCUACAACUAUGCUCCAUCAAUGCAGCAGCCCCCUGUUUACGUCCAGGGAGGGCAGUACGUCUCGCCGUAUGGUACGGUCGUUGCCGGAGGGCAAUAUCCCAUGUACGGGGUUCCGUCAACCGGGGUGUCCGCCCUUCCGCAAUUCCAUCCAGGUGGGGUGGUGCCUCAGCCGGCUCAAAAACGCAAAANNNNNNNNNNNNNNNNNNNNNNNNNNNNNNNNNNNNNNNNNNNNNNNNNNNNNNNNNNNNNNNNNNNNNNNNNNNNNNNNNNNNNNNNNNNNNNNNNNNNNNNNNNNNNNNNNNNNNNNNNNNNNNNNNNNNNNNNNNNNNNNNNNNNNNNNNNNNNNNNNNNNNNNNNNNNNNNNNNNNNNNNNNNNNNNNNNNNNNNNNNNNNNNNNNNNNNNNNNNNNNNNNNNNNNNNNNNNNNNNNNNNNNNNNNNNNNNNNNNNNNNNNNNNNNNNNNNNNNNNNNNNNNNNNAGCAGCAACAGUUUGCGGGUGGAGCUUUGCAACCCGGUAUUCAACACACUCUGAAACACGUGCCGGUUCAGCAACAAUUUCAGCAGCAGCACAUGCAGUCAUAUCAGCAUGGGCAAUAUCAGCAUCCUCAGAUGCCAAACGGGCCUGCUAUUGUUGAUACCCCACCAUUGGCGGCUCCAAUGUCUGAUGUGCAGGUCGAUACGGCGCCCAAGUCCAAGGCUAAGAAAGGGGUUCGUUGCUCGAAAUGUGCGGUUGAUACGCAUACAGUGAAGGAUUGCACUGUGCAACACUACUGCUAUAUUUGUGACAAAAUCGCUCAUCCAACAUUGCGGUGUCCUAUUCUCAAACUCCCUUAGGCCCAGUGCUUUUGUUUCGGGAGUUGGUGCUGAGGAGACGUACUUUGUCCAGUUGCUUGAUUGCGUGGUGAAAGAUCAUUUAGCACCGACACAGUCUCCGAUAGCCCGAGUUCAGGUUACUGGUUUGAUGGUACCGGCUAGUGUUGUCGAGAGCCAGAUUGCUAGGAGAUGUCCGGUACAUGAUCAAUGGAAGUGGGAGGCUAUUCAACACGGGCCUGAUGGUUACCUUGUUAGCUUUCCGUCUUUCGAGGACUUGGACAGGGUAGAUGGUAUUCAGAUGAACGUUCCAUCUGUUAAUGCUCAGAUGACCGUUACCGCAUGGAGGUCUCAGGAGGUCCCACAUAAGCUCGAGCUUCAGCAGAUUUGGCUCCAUGUCCAGGGGGUUCCCCAUACGGUUCGUCAUUUUUGGGGCUUAUGGGCUGUUGGUACUUUGAUGGGCAAGACAUUGGAUGUCGAUCUUCUUAGCCUGUGUCGUCGUGGUGUUGUACGUAUUCUCGUGGCUAUGACCAACUCUCAGAUAUUGUCAAAGGAAAAUGACGACGCUGGUCCUUUUGCUGCAACAGAUGUGGUGGUUAAGCUCAAGGGCUACACUUUCUCGUUCAGAAGGGAGCCGGCAGGUUACAUUCCGGACCCUGAUUUUGUCCCGUUCGUUUGGAGACGCAAGGGUGAUGAUGCUGAUGAUGAUAGUGGCGCCAAGGAGAAAGACAAUGAGAUGGACACAUCGGAAUACACCGGGAACCCAUCCAACCAUCCGUCAUCUAGUAACACUAAUGUGACUCAAGUUCAACGACGGGAGCUGCCGACUGUUGGCUCUGGUGGUGCGACGGGAGGUGGUCCUGUGUUGUUGGCCGUCAUUCCGUUUAACUCUGCGCCGCAGACGCCGAGAGGCAUGGAGCUUGCCGCGGAUCUUAGAGUCAACUCCACGUUACCUGGAUGUCUCGAAAGAUCCCCUCGGGUUCACCGACAGGAGUUGUCCUCGCCUUCUACACUGCAGGCUGUGGUUGCAUUGCAGCUGUCGUCGCAUUCUCGGCCGGCAUCGUCGCAGUCCGCUGCCCUCCGGUCGGAGCAAGUCACCGGCGGCUCGGCGGGGCGACCAGACUCUUCUGCAGUACACCUACAACCAGCUGCUAAGGUGGCGUCGCAGUCACCGUCGUCGACGCGGACGGCGGCGUCUAAGCCGGCUGUUCCCGAGCCGGUGGAGGCUGCCGGUGGUACAGCGCAUGCGGGGUGCCGGCAUCCUGUGGGUACGGUUGAGGCCGAUUGGCAUGCAGCUCAUGUGGAGAUACCCAUGCAUGCAACCCAUGCAUGCAUGUAGUGAACCUGGACGUGAAGGCUACCCCCAAGUGUGCAGCCGUGCGUAGCUGCACCCGCGGUUGCCCUUCGGUCUCUGUCCGCGCCGGACGAGUCCACGGCCGCUCCUCGGUCUCAGGCGAAGCCGGACGUGUCUGCCUCAUCCAUGCACGCUCCUCCAGUCAGGCCAUCUUCGGAAGUGUCGCCGCGUGUUAUUGCGGCCGAGACUGCCGGGGAGGGGGUUGCUACUACACCCUCAUCCCCUCCUCCGGCGGCGGUGCUUGCGCGACACCCUUCAUCAAGGAUGACACCUACACGCCGAAGUGGCCGUCAUGCGGUGGCCGACGAUGGAAGGAUGGACACUGACGAGGACUCUUUGGCCAAGGCUAUGCGGCGUAAAGCGGCGCAGAACCUCGACAACCAAGGUAUUUCGUCAUCACUCAAAUCAUUUUUAUCCUUUUCUAGUACAUCCAUCGUUUCUAAGUUGAAUAAUGUGGGUGUUAGUCUAGGAAAUAAUGAGAAUGAUAUUUCUGUUUUGACAAAUGCUUUGAAACAUUUGGAAUAUAUAUGACCGAUUGAAGGUUACUCCAUGAGUUUCUAGCAAAUCUUUUAUCUCACAUCUAGACGAGGAGGAGCUGCAUGCCACAUCAGAUGGUCAGCUACUCGCUCAUGUAGUAGGGGAGAUUUCAGACGUGGGCUUGGAGGAACCCGGGCUUAGCUCAUUGCUUGAGCUUACAGCUUCCGGUCGUAAAUCCAAGUCGGACCGUUCGAAAAAAUGUCGUAAGUCCUCUAAGAGGGCGAAAUUUUCUAAAUCUCCUAUUGUUUCCUCAUGAAUGGCAUGUUCUUUAAUAGCACAGGUCUUGGUGACUUGGCUAAACAUCUAUUCAUUGCGGAAUGUAAUAGGGAACACAAUUUAGACUUUUUGGCUUUAUCUGAAACAGGGAGACGUGAUUUCUCAGUAAGUCUUCUUAACCGUCUUUCUGGCGGGAUAGACUAUACUUGGAUUUCUCGGCCACCUCGAGGUCGUUCUGGGGGCAUUUUACUUGGCGUAAACACGGGGACUAUGGAUGUGUUGGCUAGUUCGGAUGGUGAGUUUCACAUUAAACUCCAUAUCCGGAACAAAGCCGACAACUUCACAUGGACCCUCGUCGCUGUGUAUGGAGCAGCACAUGAUGAGUUCAAGGCUGAUUUUCUCCGUGAAUUGGUUAAUCUAGCGAACGAGAAUCCCUACCCCAUUCUUAUCGGUGGGGAUUUUAAUUUGCUAUGAUUUCCAAAUGAGAAAAGCCGAGGUAGGUUUGAUAAUCAUUGGGCUUCCCUUUUCAACGCUGUCAUAGACAGUCUAGAUUUGCGAGAGGUUUCCAUGAUUGGAAGACAGUACACUUGGGCGAACAAUCUUCCAGAACCGACAUAUGAGAAACUAGAUCGCGUAUUCAUGGAUACCGACCGGGAAUCCAGAUUCCCUAUGGUUUCUGUACGUGCUCUACCUCGUAUAGAGGCUAUCUCAGACCACACACCCAUCCUUUUAACUACUGGAUUGCCAUGACCGCAGCACAGACGCAAGUUCAAGUUCGAACUGGGUUGGUUGCAUCGGGAUGGAUUCCAUGACUUGGCCAAGAAGGUGUGGGAUAAACCGAUUGCCGGGCUUACCCCAAUACACAAAUGGAACAACAAAAUGCGUGCAUUACGUAAGUUCCUUAGUGGUUGGGCUAGGCACACUGCGGGUAUCCUCAAAAAGGAGAAGCUUCGUCUUUUGUCUAUCAUUGAUGAAUUAGAAGCUUUGGCAGAGGUUAGACCUCUAUCCGAGCAUGAAAUCGAGAUCAAGAGUCAUUCGAAUGCACAGAUAGCUAGCAUGCUGCGUGAGGAGGAACUCAAAUGGUACCAACAUAGUAACUCUCAAUUUAUCCUGAAAGGUGAUUCGAAUACUAGAUUUUUCCAUGGAGUCGCCAAUGGCAGACACCGGAAGAAAAUUAUUCAUUCCCUACAAUAGGAUGAGGGCACGAUUGAGAGACAUGAGCAACUUAAAUCUUAUAUCACUAAUUAUUAUAAAAAUUUGUUCGGAGCCCCAGAGGAAGGUAACUUCUCAAUGGAUGAGUCCCGAACGGAUGACAUCCCCCAGGUCUCUGAUGAGGAAAACAGCCUUCUAACAGCCCCAUACUCCGAGGAGGAAGUUAGAAAGGUGGUUUUCCUAAUGGAGCACAACAAAGCCCCGGGUCCAGAUGGUUUUCCUGCUGAGUUCUAUCAGAACUUCUGGGAAGUCAUCAAGUCGGAUCUCCUACUUUUGUUUAGCGACCUACAUGCUGGCCAUCUGGAAUUGUUUCGCUUAAACUUCGGUGAGAUUAUUUUAUUACAUAAGGCUAAUGAGGCUGAAAGGAUACAAUAAUAUAGACCUAUUUGCCUCCUUAAUGUUAGUUUUAAAAUAUUAACGAAGGUUGCGACUAUUAGGCUAAAUUCGGUUGUUGAACAUGUGAUUCGUCCUUCACAGACUGCUUUUAUGCAAGGAAGAAACAUCCUAGAUGGAGUUGUUAUCCUUCAUGAAACAGUCCAUGAAUUACAUCGAAAAAGUUGAAUGGGGUGGUACUCAAAAUAGACUUUGAAAAAGCGUAUGACAAAGUCAAAUGGCCAUUUCUUCAACAGACUCUCAGAAUGAAAGGAUUUUCUGCAGAGUGGUGCGCUAUGGUCCAUAGCUUCAUUUCUGGAGGUAGUGUUGCCAUUAAGGUCAAUGACGACGUUGGACACUAUUUCCAAACAAAGAAGGGAUUGCGACAAGGUGACUCGGUAUCGCCCAUGCUAUUCAAUAUAGUGGCGGAUAUGCUAGCGGUCAUGAUUGAGCGUGCCAAGGUUGAUGGCCAAAUUGAUGGAGUAGUAAGUCAUCUAGUUGAUGGUGGUCUCUCUAUACUUCAAUAUGCCGACGAUACGAUUCUCUUCAUGGAUCAUGACCUCGAGAAAGCGAGAAAUCUGAAAUUAAUUUUAUCAGCAUUCGAGCAACUCUCAGGUCUGAAGAUCAACUUUCAUAAAAGUGAAUUGUUUUGUUUUGGCGAGGCUCAAGACGAGGCCCACCUGUACGCUGAACUGUUCGGAUGUGGGUUGGGCCAGUUUCCGAUCACAUAUUUGGGGAUACCGAUACAUUAUCGGAGACUCACAAAUGCUGAAUGGAAACAUGUCGAGGAGAGGCUGCAAAAAAGACUUAGCAGUUGGAAAGGUAAACUGUUGUCUCUGGGUGGAAGAUUAGUCCUCAUAAACUCAGUACUAAGUAAUAUGGUACUAUAUAUGAUUUCCUUCUUCCAGUUGCCAAAAGGAGUUUUACAUAGAUUGGAUUAUUUCCGAUCAAGAUUCUUUUGGCAAGGAGAUAGCGAGCGAAAGAAAUCGACUGGCUAAAUGGAGUGUGGUUUGUCGUCCCAAACACCAAGGUGGGUUGGGCAUUCAUGACCUUGAGGUUAAGAAUAGGGCCCUCCUCGGCAAAUGGUUGUUCAAAUUACUAACCGAAAAUGGUGUAUGGCAAACCCUCCUGAGGAGGAAAUAUGUGGGCUCCAAGGCGGUAUCCCAAGUAUACUGGAAGCCUGGGGAUUCUCACUUUUGGGCGGGUCUAAUGGCUACGAAGAAAUAUUUCUUCUCCUAUGGAUCCUUCUCGAUGAAGGACGGCUCGGAAAUUAGAUUCUAGGAGGACAAGUGGCUAGGAAAUGCCACACUCCGGGAACAAUAUCCGGCUCUAUACAACAUUGUGCGUCACAAGGGUGAUACUAUUGCCACUGUAAUGGAAUCAUUUCCGCCAAAUGUGACGUUCAGAAGAGAUUUAAUUGGACCUAGACUCCAAUCGUGGUACAUCCUGCUUCAACGGUUGUCCACGGUACAAUUGUCACAUGGGUCUGAUGUAUUUCAAUGGAACCUACAUGAGAAUGGAAAAUUCUCAGUGGAGUCUAUGUAUAGAGCGUUAAUUCAGUCUGAUGUGCCAGUUGAUAAUAAUAAGAAGAUCUGGAAGAUGAAGAUACCUCUUAAGAAUAAAAUAUUUGCAUGGUAUCUUCGUCGCGGAGUUAUUCUUACUAAAGAUGACCUUAUCAAGAGGAAUUGGCAUGGAAGUCCGCGAUGUGUUUUUUGUCAUCAUGAUGAGACAAUAAAACAUUUAUUCUUCCAAUGCAAAUUGGCUUGGUCUAUAUGGUCAGUCAUCCAGAUAGGUGCUGGCUUGUAUCCUCCUUGUAGUGUUGCCAAUGUAUUUGGCAACUGGUUACAUGGGAUUGAUCACAGGUUUAGAACUCUUCUUAGGGUGGGAGUGCUAGCCGUUAUUUGGUCGCUUUGGCUAUGUAGAAAUGAUAAGGUUUUUAAUGAUAAAAGUACUUCUCUAAUGCAGGUUAUCUACAGAUGUACAGGGACUCUUCAUUUAUGGUCCUCUCUACAACGCGUGAACAAUCAAGACCUAUUUACGGAGGUGUGUACACGAUUGGAGGAUACGGCGAGGGAUACUUUUAUCCAACAUGGGUGGCAACAUGAUCAUAGGAUUGGCCCACCUCCGCUUUUGGCGUUAUACAGACUCUAUCUUUGUAUUCCGCCUAUCUAUUUUUCGUUCUUGCAGAGGACUUUGUUUGGCUGUGUGCAUCUUAGUUAUGCAGAGGCCGGGUGUAAUGCUUAAACCUUUUAAGUAAUAAAGCGCCCCUUUUCGAAAAAAAUUGCAGCACAUUGAUCGGUCAAUAAGGUCUUUGGUUCUUUUCCUGACAUGGCCCUUUUGAAUGUUUCAAACAACCAUUCAAACUUCUCAGAUGUUUCAUCAUACAAUAAUGCAGCUCCAAAAACCAUUGUUUGUUUAUGAUGGUUGACACCAACGGAAAGGGGAAAUGGUCUGCCAUAACUAUUUGUCUUAAAGGUUGUGUCAAAGCAUACCACAUCACCAAAGUAGUGAUAAUCUAAUAUUGAUCUUGCAUCUGCCCAGAAUAUAUUGGUUACCAUCUCAUCUUCAUCUACUUGUAUAGCAUAAAAAAGGAAGGAUUUUCCAUCUGCUUGUCCUGUAGGUAUUGAAGAAUGGCACCUGUAUCUCCUUCUUGGAUGGAUUGCAUACGCUUUGAUUGGAGAUAAUUUUUAUAAUCUUUUUUACCGAAGCUAAGACAUUGUCAACCCCCUGCUUGUCUACUCAUCACUUCAUGGCCAGAUUUUGGUCUAGUACCUGAAUCAUUCAAGAUGUCAAUUUGGGCCUUCUGACCUUCUGUAAUUCUUCUUUGGGAUCGCAGUAGAUGGGCUUUGCUUGGAGUUACGAGUUCAUGAUUAUGAGCAUCCUCAAAGCUACUUACAACAUAUUUUCUAGUAGCACUUAUUUUGAUGGUCAUCUCUGCCAGACAACCAACUCUUGUUUCUGCUCGCUUCCUCUGACAUUGUUCCUUGCUCUUGUCCUUGUGACCUUCCUUUGAGCAUACAAAUUUCUUUGUUCGAAUAACAUUAGUCGUUGAGGAUUUCUCAUGCCAAGACUUCCUGACACUGAAACCUACAUGUCCUGCAUAUGUAUUGCAAAACUCAUAUGCAAUAUCUUCAUUCUCAAAUUCCAUUCCUAUCUCUGGUUUUAACCUUUUGAUGUAAUAAUCAUUUGUAUUUCCACCCGCCUCUCCCACAUUUGUGGUCUCAUGAUCUACAAAACAUAAAAAUUAUCAUAUACUGAUUAGUUUAUGAUCCAGCUGCCAUUCUUCUUUAGUAGGCAUUAGCAAAAUAACACACGUUAUUGACAAGAGCAUUAGCAAAAUAUUGAUUUUUUUUCUUUGAUAAAAAAAUAAACUUAGGUGCUACUCUGUUAGUAGUGAAAUUUGAUUCUAAGUAAGAUCGAGCUGAUGUCUCGUUACUAAACCAACUCAUGAUGAUUCCAUAUACUGAUGGAUAAGAAGCAAAUAAAUUCACAUGAUCCAGAGUUUCAAACCUUAAGCAUGUUUGUUUAUCUACAUAGACGAAGGGUAAUGAUAUAACUUGCACUGAACCUAACAGUUCGUCCUAGUUUCAUUUUUCAGUGUCAGGAUUUGCCCUCUGAUGCAUAGUGUGUGCAGCAACGUAGGAGUGAUCAUCCUUCACAGAAUUAUAAUGCAAUUCCAAAGGAUUAAU
RNAcentral lists this long non-coding RNA (10393 nucleotides) under Triticum aestivum (bread wheat). RNAcentral describes it as "long non-coding RNA (TAES_LNC018481)". The record is from RNAcentral. Lineage: Eukaryota; Viridiplantae; Streptophyta; Magnoliopsida; Poales; Poaceae.